Molecule: transfer RNA, 77 nt
Filed under: Legionellales bacterium
Lineage: Bacteria; Pseudomonadati; Pseudomonadota; Gammaproteobacteria; Legionellales
Description: tRNA-Arg
Rfam family: tRNA
About the family: Transfer RNA (tRNA) molecules are approximately 80 nucleotides in length. Their secondary structure includes four short double-helical elements and three loops (D, anti-codon, and T loops).
Source: RNAcentral
GCUCCCGUAGUUCAGCUGGAUAGAACAACGGACUUCUAAUCCGUAGGUCGCAGGUUCGACUCCUGCCGGGGGCACCA